Long non-coding RNA from Talpa occidentalis (Iberian mole), 931 nucleotides. RefSeq lists it as uncharacterized. The transcript has 4 exons. The record is from RefSeq and is a predicted model, not a curated record. NCBI's taxonomy places the organism in Eukaryota, Metazoa, Chordata, Mammalia, Eulipotyphla, Talpidae.
GCAGCGCUGGCUCCUGGUCUGUGGCCAGCCCGCCUCGCUUCCUGCACUUGGGCCUGGGCCUCACCCUGAGGGUGGGGUGUCCUGCCAGCACAACUGGAGUUUAUUUCUUCUGUCUGCGCUGAAGAAGCUGAACUGAUGCGGACCCUGGAUUUGGCCCAAAUGCAGUUUCGGGCUACAAGCGUCCGCCAAGUCCUUCUAGGCUGUGUGAGCGACUGUCCCUGAACCCAGACGGGAAGGAGCUAUUUGGGAAUUGAUCUGAGCCCCCAAAUGCUAGCCGAUCAGUAUCUCCCCAGGAAAACUCAGCAAUGACAGCUUGAGGAAGGGCCAAGACCAUGUCGGCCCAGCACUCAGGGCUGAACUUGGGGUAAUAUUUAGAACAUCCAGAGGCAUGGACAGCCGCCAUGUCCCAAGGCAAUGCUCCAAAAACACCCUUUCUCACAACUGGAUGUUUUCAUGCUUGCACAAGGGACAGCGCAUGAUUACAAUCAAGGGAACUCUGGAAGGUGUGAGUUGACUCAUGGAGUAGAAAGCCAGAACUUCCACCCUGGACGUCGGGGCCGGAGACUCCUCCACACUGGACGUUGGGGGCCAGAGACUUCUACACUGGGCACGGGGGGCCAGAGACUCAUCCACGCUGGACAUUUGGGGCCGGAGACUCCUCCACACUGGACAUGAGGGACCAGAGACUCUUCCAGACUGGACAUUGGGGAUCACAGCCUCUUGGUUGCCCCAGCGUCCGCUGGCUGAGUUCCCCACACCUCCCCACACCUCCCCCAAGCUCCCUACCUCUCAAGAGGAGGCUGAUUACUCACAAAGACAAGCCAGGCACAGAAAUAGCCAACCUAUUUGUGGCUUGAAUGCAAGCAGUUUUAUUUUUACGGAGAGUCGCUGUAUUUUCUCUAAGUAGAAAUCAUUAUCUACCAUAAAUGAA